RNAcentral lists this ribosomal RNA (496 nucleotides) under uncultured bacterium. Its description in RNAcentral is "partial 16S ribosomal RNA". It matches the Rfam family "Bacterial small subunit ribosomal RNA", at positions 28 to 507 of the family's 1533-position model. The record is from RNAcentral.
GAUGAACGCUGGCGGCGUGCCUAAUACAUGCAAGUCGAGCGAACAGACGAGGAGCUUGCUCCUCUGACGUUAGCGGCGGACGGGUGAGUAACACGUGGAUAACCUACCUAUAAGACUGGGAUAACUUCGGGAACCGGAGCUAAUACCGGAUAAUAUAUUUAACCGCAUGGGUCAAUAGUGAAAGACGGUUUUGCUGUCACUUAUAGAUUGAUCCGCGCCGCAUUAGCUAGUUGGUAAGGUAACGGCUUACCAAGGCAACGAUGCGUAGCCGACCUGAGAGGGUGAUCGGCCACACUGGAACUGAGACACGGUCCAGACUCCUACGGGAGGCAGCAGUAGGGAAUCUUCCGCAAUGGGCGAAAGCCUGACGGAGCAACGCCGCGUGAGUGAUGAAGGUCUUCGGAUCGUAAAACUCUGUUAUUAGGGAAGAACAAAUGUGUAAGUAACUAUGCACGUCUUGACGGUACCUAAUCAGAAAGCCACGGCUAACUACGUG